Molecule: ribosomal RNA, 923 nt
Filed under: Thermotogae bacterium enrichment culture clone BSK_21
Lineage: Bacteria; Thermotogati; Thermotogota; Thermotogae
Description: bacterial SSU rRNA
Rfam family: Bacterial small subunit ribosomal RNA
Source: RNAcentral
AGAGUUUGAUCCUGGCUCAGGGCUAACGCUGGCGGCGUGUCUUAGCCAUGCAAGUCGAGCGGUCCUAUGGGGCGACCUAUAGGAUAGCGGCGGACGGCGGAGUAACACGUAGCUAACCUACCCUCCGGACGGGGAUAACCAUUCGAAAGGGUGGCUAAUACCCGAUGGAGUCAUCCGCAAGGGUGAUGAAAGGUGGGCCUCUGUUUACAAGCUCAUGCCGGGGGAGGGGGCUGCGGCCUAUCAGGUAGUUGGUGGGGUAAAGGCCCACCAAGCCUAUGACGGGUAGCCGGCCUGAGAGGGUGACCGGCCCGAGGGACACUGAGACACGGGUCCCACUCCUACGGGAGGCAGCAGGCUAGAAAUUUGGGCAAUGGGGGAAACCCUGACCCAGUGACGCCGCGUGCAGGAAGGAGCCCUUCGGGGUGUAAACUGCUGUCGUGCGGGGCGAAGGGUUUAUAGGCGAAUAGUCUAUAGACUUGACGGUACCGCAGGAGGAAGCCCAGGCUAACCUCGUGCCAGCAGCCGCGGUAAUACGGGGUGGGCGAGCGUUGCCCGGAAUUACUGGGUUUAAAGGGGGUGUAGGCGGUCUGGAUAGUCAGGUGUGUAAUCCAAUCGCUCAACGAUUGGACUGCAUCUGAUACUUUCAGGCUAGAGGGCGGUAGAGGAGAGCGGAACUCCCGGUGUAGCGGUGAAAUGCGUAGAUAUCGGGAGGAACGCCGGUGGCGAAGGCGGCUCUCUGGGCCGUUCCUGACGCUGAGGCCCGAAAGCUGGGGGAGCGAAAGGGAUUAGAUACCCCUGUAGUCCCAGCCGUAAACGAUGGGCACUAGGUGUGCCUCUAUAUAGGGGUGUGCCGACGGGAAACCAUUAAGUGCCCCCACCUGGGGGAGUACGCCCGCAAGGGUGAAACUCAAAUGAAUUGACGG